GCCCUGAGGUCAAGAUUCAGUUGUGUUGUGUCAUCAUUGAAGCCUGUUCUCAUUUCUGAUUCUGGCAGGCUGGCUACCUGGCUUCAAUGAAGGUGAUCAGUAUGACCUCCAGUCCAGUUGUGGAGACAUAGACAGAACAUCCACAAGGUCUUUGAAACAGGACGGAAUUUGUCUCUCACAACUUUUGACUUAAUAUUGAUGUUGUGACUUGGAAUGAGAACUCCAGGAGAGAGCAAGACAAGGUGUCUGGCCGUUAUUUGCUGGACAGCCUUUUUGGCCUGUGAGUCUCAGCUCUCGUAAGCCAUGUGGACGUGGGCUUGAUGCUAGCUUGUCAGGAAAGCUGAGACCUUCCUGCACCAUCUCAUCCCCUCAAAGAAAACUCAGGAGGAGGCACAGGUGUUAAUAAUACUGAAAUACUAAAACGCAGAGCUGUGUAAUUACAUGCACUUAUCCUGCACCAUUAAAUACUUGAUUUCUACUCAGUCUGAAACCUGCUAAGUCUCUGAAGAAUCCAUGAAUAUCCAGAGCACGAGCUAGGAAUGGAAAUGUAAUACUGCUGAAAAGGAGAG
RNAcentral lists this long non-coding RNA (569 nucleotides) under Anser brachyrhynchus (Pink-footed goose). RNAcentral's name for it is "lncRNA (ENSABRG00000005371.1)". Lineage: Eukaryota; Metazoa; Chordata; Aves; Anseriformes; Anatidae. The record is from RNAcentral.